This 497-nucleotide ribosomal RNA is filed under the name uncultured bacterium. RNAcentral describes it as "partial 16S ribosomal RNA". It matches the Rfam family "Bacterial small subunit ribosomal RNA", at positions 28 to 507 of the family's 1533-position model. The record is from RNAcentral.
GACGAACGCUGGCGGCGUGCCUAAUACAUGCAAGUAGAACGCUGAAGAGAGGAGCUUGCUCUUCUUGGAUGAGUUGCGAACGGGUGAGUAACGCGUAGGUAACCUGCCUUGUAGCGGGGGAUAACUAUUGGAAACGAUAGCUAAUACCGCAUAACAAUGGAUGACACAUGUCAUUUAUUUGAAAGGGGCAAUUGCUCCACUACAAGAUGGACCUGCGUUGUAUUAGCUAGUAGGUGAGGUAAUGGCUCACCUAGGCGACGAUACAUAGCCGACCUGAGAGGGUGAUCGGCCACACUGGGACUGAGACACGGCCCAGACUCCUACGGGAGGCAGCAGGAGGGAAUCUUCGGCAAUGGGGGCAACCCUGACCGAGCAACGCCGCGUGAGUGAAGAAGGGUUUCGGAUCGUAAAGCUCUGUUGUAAGUCAAGAACGGGUGUGAGAGUGGAAAGUUCACACUGUGACGGUAGCUUACCAGAAAGGGACGGCUAACUACGUG